CCCUUAGAUGUUCUGGGCCGCACGCGCGCUACACUGAUGCAUUCAACGAGUCUAAAACCUGCUCUGAUAGGGGUGGGUAAUCUUUUGAAUGUGCAUCGUGAUUGGGAUAGAUGACUGCAAUUUUUCAUCUUCAACGAGGAAUGCCUAGUAAACGCAAGUCAUCAGCUUGCAUUGAUUACGUCCCUGCCCUUUGUACACACCGCCCGUCGCUCCUACCGAUUGAAUGAUCCGAUGAAUAUCAUGGAUUGAGGAUUAUAGCAGGUUCGCCUGUCUUGAUCUUCGAGAAGUGAAGUAAAUCUUAUCAUUUAGAGGAAGGAGAAGUCGUAACA
This 329-nucleotide ribosomal RNA is filed under the name uncultured eukaryote. Its description in RNAcentral is "partial 18S ribosomal RNA". It matches the Rfam family "Eukaryotic small subunit ribosomal RNA", at positions 1470 to 1796 of the family's 1831-position model. The record is from RNAcentral.